CUCUAUAUGCCUGUUUUAAUUCUCUUCUAUGAAGUCUGGUUCUGUUUAGAUAUAAACUGAAGGUCUUAGUCACAGAUUUAUACAAGCUUUCCAGUAAAGACCCCAAAUAACAAUCCUACUACUGGCUAGCUACUUACAGGGAAAGAAGACAUUAUAUAAAAUAGAUACUUGAACAUGUAUGUUUGUUGCAUCACAAUUCACAAUUGCAAAGAUACAGAAUCAGCGUUAAGUGUCCAUCAACUGAUAAGUGAAUAAAGAAAAUGUGUUUGGUAGAGGCUUGCAUUCUAUGAAAACCUACAAGAAGAUAUCUCUUCUGAGUUUCAGUAGUUUGCUUGCCUUUAUUGGCCUUUAGUCAAUUUUCAAUUUGUGUUUUCAUGAUACAAUUAAAAAAUAUUGAAUGGCAGGAAGACAUAACUGAAAGACAAAGCUAGAAAAAUUUAGGAUGCAAAAACUCACUCUGUGACCAUAAAUGAAUGUGCACAUC
This 484-nucleotide long non-coding RNA is filed under the name Pan troglodytes (chimpanzee). Its description in RNAcentral is "long non-coding RNA NONPTRT015480". Lineage: Eukaryota; Metazoa; Chordata; Mammalia; Primates; Hominidae. The record is from RNAcentral.